Molecule: long non-coding RNA, 887 nt
Organism: Vicia villosa (hairy vetch)
Lineage: Eukaryota; Viridiplantae; Streptophyta; Magnoliopsida; Fabales; Fabaceae
Exons: 4
Source: RefSeq, a predicted model, not a curated record
UCCCCCAUGCAUUCUCAUUUUGUUUUGUCCUCUUUCUCAACUCUUUAUACUUUCUGAACAAGCAUCCAAAUAUUUUAACUAAGCUUAGAAAAAUUAGACAUGCCUAUAAUUUUAUAAUCUUUAUUGUUCUAUAGACUAUUGUUUAUGAAUUUGUUUUCUUGUCAGGUCAGCCAACUACGCAUCUCUGGUGACUGCACAGCUUGUUGUGUUGGCUUCACACAUGGCUGGACUAGGACUUCCGGACAAUGAUGCUUGGUACAUGAUCGAAACAAUUGCAGAGAGGAAUAGUAUCGGUUCCAAACAAUUUGACUAUCCGAGCCAUAAGUUCAGAUCGGGGGAAGGUGGUGUCAGGAUCUGAUGAUAAGUCUGUUUUGGUGUGGGAUAAGCAGACAACUCAACUUUUAGAAGAGCUUAAAGGCCAUGAUGGACCGGUCAGCUGUGUACGCACGCUCUCAGGUGAGCGUGUGCUAACUGCGUCUCAUGAUGGCACUGUGAAGAUGUGGGAUGUAAGAACUGAUAGAUGUGUUCUUUAUUCACAAAUGUAAACAAAUAUCUAUUUCUAUAUAAAAAUGCUGGUCAUUAAGAAUGGUUGGUGAUACUGUUAUUACUGGUAGUGAUGAUUGGACAGCAAGAAUAUGGUCUGUUUCAUGAGGAACAUGGCGAUGAUGCGGCUGCCGUAGCACGUUAUUCUUACCGAAGCAAGAAAUUUCUUGGGUUAUCGACGGUAAAGGAGGAGUCAGGGGGUUAGAAUUAGGCAUAAGCAGUAGGUUAUGUAUUUUUUUAUUGUGGAAUGUUUUAGUAUUACUUUUCAUACUUUGAGAACAAUGUUUAUAAUAUUAUGAGAUGUUUUUUUAAUUAAUGCAUUAUCUUGUUCUAAGAAUUUCAUA